This 492-nucleotide ribosomal RNA is filed under the name uncultured bacterium. RNAcentral describes it as "partial 16S ribosomal RNA". It matches the Rfam family "Bacterial small subunit ribosomal RNA", at positions 29 to 507 of the family's 1533-position model. The record is from RNAcentral.
AGUGAACGCUGGCGGUAGGCCUAACACAUGCAAGUCGAACGGCAGCACAGUAAGAGCUUGCUCUUACGGGUGGCGAGUGGCGGACGGGUGAGGAAUACAUCGGAAUCUACUUUUUCGUUGGGGAUAGCGUAGGGAAACUUACGCUAAUACCGCAUACGACCUACGGGUGAAAGCAGGGGAUCUUCGUACCUUGCGCGAUUGAAUGAGCCGAUGUCGGAUUAGCUAGUUGGCGGGGUAAAGGCCCACCAAGGCGACGAUCCGUAGCUGGUCUGAGAGGAUGAUCAGCCACACUGGAACUGAGACACGGUCCAGACUCCUACGGGAGGCAGCAGUGGGGAAUAUUGGACAAUGGGCGCAAGCCUGAUCCAGCCAUACCGCGUGGGUGAAGAAGGCCUUCGGGUUGUAAAGCCCUUUUGUUGGGAAAGAAAAGCAGCAGGUUAAUACCCCGCUGUUCUGACGGUACCCAAAGAAUAAGCACCGGCUAACUUCGUG